GCAUUAUGAAUCCAUUAAUAUCUUAAUGAAAUAAAAAAAACGUUUCAAUAGUAAUGAAAAACAUUUCUAUUAAUUAAUAUUGCAUUAUGGUUUCAUUAACGUCACCAGAAAAACGUUUUUAAUAAAAAAACCGUUAUCUUUAUUAAAAAAAACAUUUCUGUCCAGGACCUUUUGCGGCGACGAACGCUGCCACUAAACCCAUAGAAGUCGCCGCUAAAAGUAUUAGUGGCGACUAUGU
This 238-nucleotide long non-coding RNA is filed under the name Nicotiana benthamiana. RNAcentral describes it as "long non-coding RNA (NBEN_LNC003274)". Lineage: Eukaryota; Viridiplantae; Streptophyta; Magnoliopsida; Solanales; Solanaceae. The record is from RNAcentral.